This 819-nucleotide long non-coding RNA is filed under the name Salvia miltiorrhiza (redroot sage). Its description in RNAcentral is "long non-coding RNA (SMIL_LNC007431)". The record is from RNAcentral. Lineage: Eukaryota; Viridiplantae; Streptophyta; Magnoliopsida; Lamiales; Lamiaceae.
CAACUGGAAGACCAGAGAAUGGUCGGGCUUCGUCCGUUCUCCUCCUCUUCUUCUCUCUGAAUUUGGCGCCGCCGACUGAGGAACGUCGAUGAACGCCGCUCACUGCCAUGGUCUUCGAGAUUCGGGCAAGUGGUUGUCACAUCCGCUCUCUCGUUACCUCUCUCACUCACUCUCAUGAACAGAUCUCCCUCACACACGAAGAGAAUAGAAACCGAGUCCUAGCUCUCUCUCGACACUAUCCCAAUCUCUCGCUGCUGUUAUGUUUCUCCGCCGAGCAGGUGAGGGCCUGCCGCCUCCGUCGAUCCUCCGAGCUCCGUCGUGCGUCUGAAGUUCGUCGUCGUGCCGCUCUCCUUGGUUACAGAGCAGGGUAGCCGCAAUUCUCCCCUUUCGAAGCUAAGUUUCCUGUCCCAUCUCUUUUCUAUUGAUGAUAGUGUUACUACGUCGUUGCAUAUCGACUUCUUAGUGUAGUGGAUUUCUAAUGAUUGGUUGCAAUUAAACGUCAGUAAAUUGCAUUAUGUCCCUGCCUUAUUUUUCUCCACAUAUACGAAGCAUUUCAUACUUCUAUGAUGAUGAGUUAUGGCAUUUGAUGUCCAUCUAAGAUGUUGAAAUCAUCCCAGUUCUAGAAAACUUGGAGCUGUCAUGAGCUGUUAUUUACUGGCUAUAUCUACCUCAUCUUGUAUUAUUCCAACUUGGCUUGAUUUGUAGCAGUUAUGUAUGCUUCUUUCUUAAAACUUGUUGCUUUCACAUUUAAUCUUUGGAAUGAUAUUGCUAAAUUUCUUCUUUUAUCUCAUGAGAAUCUGUAUAUACUUCCUAGCAUCC